This 466-nucleotide unclassified non-coding RNA is filed under the name Pavona danai. Its description in RNAcentral is "sequence contains 5.8S rRNA gene, ITS2 and 28S rRNA gene". The stretch from base 297 to 450 matches the Rfam family "5.8S ribosomal RNA". The record is from RNAcentral. Lineage: Eukaryota; Metazoa; Cnidaria; Anthozoa; Scleractinia; Agariciidae.
GCGCCGGAUGCCGGAAAGUUGGUCAAACUUGAUCAUUUAGAGGAAGUAAAAGUCGUAACAAGGUUUCCGUAGGUGAACCUGCGGAAGGAUCAUUACCGAUAGAAUAAUCCAAGACGAGUCUUUGAGACUUGUUUACUGUGUGAAUUGUACGCAAUCUUUUAGGGGUCGGUCUCUGUGUCGUUAAAUGGUCGUCCGCCGCUUGGCGUGCGUUCGGUCAGCCCCGACUUUAUGUUUUUACAAACUUUGUUUAUUCAGUCUGAGAACCAACAGUGUUGGAAAACGAAAAAGAGAAAGACAACUUUUAACGGUGGAUCUCUUGGCUCACGCAUCGAUGAAGAACGCAGCCAGCUGCGAUAAGUAGUGUGAAUUGCAGAAUUCAGUGAAUCAUCGAAUCUUUGAACGCAAAUGGCGCUCUUGGGUUCUCCCAGGAGCAUGUCUGCCUGAGUGUCGGAUAUCAUCCAACGCC